This 262-nucleotide ribosomal RNA is filed under the name uncultured bacterium. RNAcentral's name for it is "partial 16S ribosomal RNA". It matches the Rfam family "Bacterial small subunit ribosomal RNA", at positions 524 to 776 of the family's 1533-position model. The record is from RNAcentral.
GACAGGUAGUGCAAACGUUGUUUGGAAUGAUUGGGUGUAAAGGAUAUGUAGACUGCUUUCGUGUGAUUUUUUGUAAAAUAACCGGGAAGUGCACCUGUGUUGGCCAAAAUUUAUCCGAAAGCUUGGAGUCGAAAAAAAGUUGGGAGAAUUUCUUGUGCAAGGGUAGAAUCUCGAAAUAUUGGAAGGACUACCAAUUUUGUAGCGAAAGCCCCUUUCUAGCUUCGACUGACGUUGAGAUAUGAAAGGAUAGGGAUCAAACAGG